AUUGAACGCUGGCGGCAGGCCUAACACAUGCAAGUCGAGCGGAUGAAGGGAGCUUGCUCCUGGAUUCAGCGGCGGACGGGUGAGUAAUGCCUAGGAAUCUGCCUGGUAGUGGGGGAUAACGUCCGGAAACGGGCGCUAAUACCGCAUACGUCCUGAGGGAGAAAGUGGGGGAUCUUCGGACCUCACGCUAUCAGAUGAGCCUAGGUCGGAUUAGCUAGUUGGUGGGCUAAAGGCCUACCAAGGCGACGAUCCGUAACUGGUCUGAGAGGAUGAUCAGUCACACUGGAACUGAGACACGGUCCAGACUCCUACGGGAGGCAGCAGUGGGGAAUAUUGGACAAUGGGCGAAAGCCUGAUCCAGCCAUGCCGCGUGUGUGAAGAAGGUCUUCGGAUUGUAAAGCACUUUAAGUUGGGAGGAAGGGCAGUAAGUUAAUACCUUGCUGUUUUGACGUUACCAACAGAAUAAGCACCAGCUAACUUCGUG
Molecule: ribosomal RNA, 484 nt
Filed under: uncultured bacterium
Lineage: Bacteria
Description: partial 16S ribosomal RNA
Rfam family: Bacterial small subunit ribosomal RNA
Source: RNAcentral